CCGCAGGCUGGUGGAGCGCCUUGCCCGAAAGCUCAGCCCAGAAAAUCAUGCAGAGGAGGAGAACAAAGAAGAAAAAGCAUCAAUGGACCCCAGCCUGAGCACAGAGCUACAAGAAAAAGAGAGUGUGAAUGAAGCCCUGAAGGGGUCAGUGGAUGAAGGCCCUGUGACUUCUUCCAGUCACCAGUACCCGUCUGGUUCCCACGAGCCUCCCAGCACCAAUGUUUUCUUGUCUGAGGAGCACGAAGACUUCUCUGCUCUGGUUGCAGCUACUGAGUACUCCCAUCAACAGGAGAAGAAAGCUCCAACAGGUCUCCCAGAAACUCAAAAAGAUCAGAAGGAUGAGGAAAGAGAUGAGCCAACAGCCCCCAGGGAGCUGCAGGAGGAGGAGGAAAUGGAUGAUGCGUGUCAGGAUUCUUUGGAUGAAAAGUAUUUGGCUCUUUCCAGUCACCAUGACUUGUCUGACU
This 464-nucleotide long non-coding RNA is filed under the name Equus asinus (donkey). RNAcentral describes it as "lncRNA (ENSEASG00005026758.1)". The record is from RNAcentral. Lineage: Eukaryota; Metazoa; Chordata; Mammalia; Perissodactyla; Equidae.